UUCAUCAGUCCCCUCCCUUUUCAUCUGCUCUUGCUGCCAGGUGCUCUGSCAUGCCCUUAUCGCAUCCUCAAAGGACUCUGGAGCGUGGGGGAUUGGAAAGACAAACCAAAUUCUUCUCCUGAGACAGGCAGCUGCCCAUGCUGUGUCUAAUCCUUUCAAUUAACUGGUAUCCUGCCUUCUUAUUGUGAUGAUGGACCAGCAUCUUUCCCACUAUGAAGGCAAAACCAUGAGGACUGGAUCAUCUGCCUUCGCUUGUUGUACUGCAAUGCAGGAACAGCCUGAUCUCAAAACUGUGACCAGACAGAAGAUAAACACUCCACAGGCCAAAAAGAAGAAUCACUUGGAUAUUUCAUGGAUCGCAUGAAAUGCUGUCCCUGGAGAGCAGUAAUUGAAGGGAGUGAAGGCGAUGGUAGCCCAGUUCAGCCACGUUGCUGAGUGGCAGAGACCUCACACACAAAGGUGCCUGGAAGGGGGGUCUCGAGCUCAUUCCUGUUCCAGGUCCAUGAGCCACCUGCACAGUGUAGGGCACCUGUGCAGCUGUGYCCUGGAGAGCUCUGAAGGGAGAAGGGAGAAGCCCAGGCACACUCGCCAGCUUAGCGUGUAUCYGGGAUUGUUGGGGUCAGUCAGGCAKGGUCAGAGCACAUCUCAGCCCCCAGGAGGGACAGCAAUGCCUGCUCUUCAUCUGUGGAUGGCCCAAAGCACCCAGAAGAUACAGUGGAGGUGAAAGAGGGUGGUACAGGAGGGCUGGAAGGGUGGGUCACAGAACUUUCUGUGCUUUUCAUCUCAUGGAGUUUUAGGACAUAACAGAGCUUUAAAACCUUUCCAGACUUCUUGCUUCAGUUUGAGAGCAGUUUCAGAACCCCACUGAGAAUCCUUUACASUGCUGAUUUUGUUGUUUAAUCUGCUCAGGUCCCAAAUGUUUCUGUUCUAAAUUUUCAAGCUGCUUGGUUAUGAGGAAGCAAUGGAGUGAGAGUGUCUUGCUUGUUUGGGCUUGGAUCAUUAUUCCAAUUCUAUGGGAAUUAAAAGUGGAGGGUCCUUUUGCUUAGAAAAUAGUGGGRAAAAAUAGAAAAUAAGAGCCAUGAGAAAAGGUCUGUGAAGCAUUGGCAGAACAGUUCAGGGAGGAAAGCAAGCACAGCAUGUUAUAUGAUUCCAGUGAUGGUCAUCUGCUCAACAAGCUACAAACACUGUAGGCCUUAAAGAUAUCCCUCUUGAGUUCUAAAAUCCUUUAACUGGUCUGAGUCAUUUGUACAGCUGAACAGGCUCGAGGUCUCUGAAGUAAAUUGGAAAUACCUGUAAUUCUGCAGAAAAUUAGAGAAGAGUUAUGUAGUCCCAAAGCAGAGGAAGAAAUAAAAAGGAGUCAUAAAACCUCUAGUCUCUGGGAAAGCUCUGGUUGAAGAUGACUUUCUAAUAGAAUUUUCUAAACUCUCUCAGUCUCACUUGGCUUCUGACAUAUGGAAAAAUUUUCAAAAGGCCAAAGUGAAAAGGUUCCAUUUCAGCAUUAAUUGCAGCGUUGGGUUUUCUUAACUCUCUCUCCUAGGAAAUAACUCACCAAUGCACCAUUUGCAAUAAUUAAAUUACAGGCCAAUUCUUCUGACUAAUGUGACUCAGAAGACACAGGUUAAAACAGCAUCUAGAAAAUGUCUGAGCAGCAUACCUUAUGGACAAGAACUUAGCAUAUAACUUGAGCCUGACAUUAAUCAGAAAGCUGCUAGAGAGUCUUACAGGCCUGUUAUUAUAAUCUGCUAUUUUUAAAAUCCUCUGAAGUAAUCAGAAAAUCAACCAGCUCAACAUCCCUAAAGAGAGCUGCUCCCACCCACCAGCAGUGGCUGACUUCACUGUUGACAUAAAAACCAUGAAGAUCUCAGUCUAGUAUUCUGCCAUGUAAUUGUAUCCUUAAUUUUGGCCUUGUUGAAAGUCUGCAGGAAAACUGAUCUUGUGUGUCCUCAUUAGAAGCAAUUCAUAUGUAAAUCAUUUAAGUUUUGGGGUUGUUUUUUUUU
This is a long non-coding RNA of Malurus melanocephalus (red-backed fairy wren), 1997 nucleotides long. RefSeq lists it as uncharacterized. The record is from RefSeq and is a predicted model, not a curated record. Lineage: Eukaryota; Metazoa; Chordata; Aves; Passeriformes; Maluridae. The transcript has 4 exons.